RNAcentral lists this ribosomal RNA (473 nucleotides) under uncultured bacterium. Its description in RNAcentral is "partial 16S ribosomal RNA". It matches the Rfam family "Bacterial small subunit ribosomal RNA", at positions 38 to 536 of the family's 1533-position model. The record is from RNAcentral.
AACGAACGCUGGCGGCAUGCCUAACACAUGCAAGUCGAACGAGACCUUCGGGUCUAGUGGCGCACGGGUGCGUAACGCGUGGGAACCUGCCCUUAGGUUCGGAAUAACUCCCCGAAAGGGGUGCUAAUACCGGAUAAUGUCUUCGGACCAAAGAUUUAUCGCCUUUGGAUGGGCCCGCGUUGGAUUAGCUAGUUGGUAGGGUAAAAGCCUACCAAGGCGACGAUCCAUAGCUGGUCUGAGAGGAUGAUCAGCCACACUGGGACUGAGACACGGCCCAGACUCGUAGGGGAGAGAGGAGUGGGGAAGAGAGGAGAAUGGGCGAACGCCUAAUCCAGCAAGGCCGCGUGUGUGAUGCCGGCUGUAGGGUUGAAAAGCUAUUUUGCCGGGGAUGAUAAUGACAGUACGGAAAGAAGAAGCUCCGGCUAACCCCGGGCCAGCAGGCGGGGUAAUAACAAAACAGCACACUUCAACGC